This 253-nucleotide ribosomal RNA is filed under the name uncultured bacterium. RNAcentral describes it as "partial 16S ribosomal RNA". It matches the Rfam family "Bacterial small subunit ribosomal RNA", at positions 524 to 776 of the family's 1533-position model. The record is from RNAcentral.
UACGAGAGGCCCAAACGUUAUUCGGAUUUACUGGGCGUAAAGGGCUCGUAGGCGGCCAACUAAGUCCGACGUGAAAUCCCCAGGCUUAACCUGGGAACUGCGUCGGAUACUGGUUGGUUUGAAUCCGGGAGAGGGAUGCGGAAUUCCAGGUGUAGCGGUGAAAUGCGUAGAUAUCUGGAGGAACACCGGUGGCGAAGGCGGCAUCCUGGACCGGCAUUGACGCUGAACAGCGAAAGCCAGGGGAGCAAACGGG